Molecule: long non-coding RNA, 455 nt
Organism: Cebus imitator (Panamanian white-faced capuchin)
Lineage: Eukaryota; Metazoa; Chordata; Mammalia; Primates; Cebidae
Exons: 3
Source: RefSeq, a predicted model, not a curated record
UUCACAUGAAACCCAACACCAGAGUUUCUAGGACAGCCUCCUCAUUGAUAAAGUGUUCCCUGACUUCUCAAUGAGCUUGUACACUGUAGCUGCAGCGAUAAUGGGCUAUAUCUGGCCGGCCCGGAAUCCUGCCCAUGUUCCAGUCAGUGCCCUGGCUAUCAGUUGUCUGCUGAGCAUGAAUGGCCAGAGGCAGAAAAAGGACAAGGAGCCAUGCUGGUGAGAAGUGGAAGUGAUUAACUUAUGUCGCAUGCUCCAGCGUGAGUUGCAGCCAGCGAUAGGCAAAUGUAUGUUGACAGCUGCCUUGGAGUUCACACCACACCGUCAGCACCCUACAGGAAACAGAUUACUCCAGGGCUCGAGAGCUCGUUGACAGCUGGAGCUUUCUGAUAAAGUUGUCAGAAAGUGAAAAGGACAGUCCCAGGAAAUUGUAAGUUUCCUGGUUUCAGGGCCUGCAA